Unclassified non-coding RNA from Papio anubis (olive baboon), 148 nucleotides. It matches the Rfam family "Metazoan signal recognition particle RNA". From Rfam's summary of the family: The signal recognition particle (SRP) is a universally conserved ribonucleoprotein. It is involved in the co-translational targeting of proteins to membranes. Lineage: Eukaryota; Metazoa; Chordata; Mammalia; Primates; Cercopithecidae. The record is from Ensembl.
GCCGGGCGUGGUGGUGCAUGCCUGUAGUCCCAGCACUCGGGAGGCUGAGGCAGGAUGAUUGCUUGAGCCUGGGAGGCAGGGGUUGCAGUGAGCCAAGAUUGGGCCACUGCGCUCCAGCCUGGGCAACAGAGUGAGACUCUUGUCUCAA